GACGAACGCUGGCGGCGUGCUUAACACAUGCCAGUCGAACGAUGAAGAAAAGAAUUGCAGCUUCGGCAGAAAUUCAUUUCGGAUUAGUGGCAGACGGGUGAGUAACGCGUGAGCAACCUACCUCUUACAAAGGGAUAGCCUCGGGAAACCGGGAUUAAUACCAUAUAACAUUGCGACGAAGCAUUUCGAUGCAAUCAAAGCUACGGCGGUAAGAGAUGGGCUCGCGUCCCAUUAACCAGAUGGUGAGGUAACGGCUCACCAUAGUAACGAUGGGUAACCGGACUGAGAGGGUGAACGGUCACACUGGAACUGAGACACGGUCCAGACUCCUACGGGAGGCAGCAGUGGGGAAUAUUGCACAAUGGAGGGAACUCUGAUGCAGCGACGCCGCGUGAGUGAUGAAGGAAUUCGUUUCGUAAAACUCUGUUCUAUGGGAAGAAAAGGACUGUACCAUAGGAGAAAGCUCCGGCUAAAUACGUG
Molecule: ribosomal RNA, 480 nt
Filed under: uncultured bacterium
Lineage: Bacteria
Description: partial 16S ribosomal RNA
Rfam family: Bacterial small subunit ribosomal RNA
Source: RNAcentral